Molecule: ribosomal RNA, 2928 nt
Filed under: Bacillus velezensis
Lineage: Bacteria; Bacillati; Bacillota; Bacilli; Caryophanales; Bacillaceae
Description: bacterial LSU rRNA
Rfam family: Bacterial large subunit ribosomal RNA
Source: RNAcentral
GGUUAAGUUAGAAAGGGCGCACGGUGGAUGCCUUGGCACUAGGAGCCGAUGAAGGACGGGACGAACACCGAUAUGCUUCGGGGAGCUGUAAGCAAGCUUUGAUCCGGAGAUUUCCGAAUGGGGAAACCCACCACUCGUAAUGGAGUGGUAUCCAUAUCUGAAUACAUAGGAUAUGAGAAGGCAGACCCGGGGAACUGAAACAUCUAAGUACCCGGAGGAAGAGAAAGCAAAUGCGAUUCCCUGAGUAGCGGCGAGCGAAACGGGACCAGCCCAAACCAAGAGGCUUGCCUCUUGGGGUUGUAGGACACUCUGUACGGAGUUACAAAGGAACGAGGUAGAUGAAGAGGUCUGGAAAGGCCCGCCAUAGAAGGUAACAGCCCUGUAGUCAAAACUUCGUUCUCUCCUGAGUGGAUCCUGAGUACGGCGGAACACGUGAAAUUCCGUCGGAAUCCGGGAGGACCAUCUCCCAAGGCUAAAUACUCCCUAGUGACCGAUAGUGAACCAGUACCGUGAGGGAAAGGUGAAAAGCACCCCGGAAGGGGAGUGAAAGAGAUCCUGAAACCGUGUGCCUACAAGUAGUCAGAGCCCGUUAACGGGUGAUGGCGUGCCUUUUGUAGAAUGAACCGGCGAGUUACGAUCCCGUGCAAGGUUAAGCAGAAGAUGCGGAGCCGCAGCGAAAGCGAGUCUGAAUAGGGCGAAUUGAGUACGUGGUCGUAGACCCGAAACCAGGUGAUCUACCCAUGUCCAGGGUGAAGUUCAGGUAACACUGAAUGGAGGCCCGAACCCACGCACGUUGAAAAGUGCGGGGAUGAGGUGUGGGUAGGGGUGAAAUGCCAAUCGAACCUGGAGAUAGCUGGUUCUCUCCGAAAUAGCUUUAGGGCUAGCCUCAAGGUAAGAGUCUCGGAGGUAGAGCACUGAUUGGACUAGGGGCCCCUACCGGGUUACCGAAUUCAGUCAAACUCCGAAUGCCGAUGACUUAUCCUUGGGAGUCAGACUGCGAGUGAUAAGAUCCGUAGUCGAAAGGGAAACAGCCCAGACCGCCAGCUAAGGUCCCAAAGUAUACGUUAAGUGGAAAAGGAUGUGGAGUUGCUUAGACAACCAGGAUGUUGGCUUAGAAGCAGCCACCAUUUAAAGAGUGCGUAAUAGCUCACUGGUCGAGUGACUCUGCGCCGAAAAUGUACCGGGGCUAAACGUAUCACCGAAGCUGCGGACUGUUCUUCGAACAGUGGUAGGAGAGCGUUCUAAGGGCUGUGAAGCAAGACCGGAAGGACUUGUGGAGCGCUUAGAAGUGAGAAUGCCGGUAUGAGUAGCGAAAGAGGGGUGAGAAUCCCCUCCACCGAAUGCCUAAGGUUUCCUGAGGAAGGCUCGUCCGCUCAGGGUUAGUCGGGACCUAAGCCGAGGCCGAAAGGCGUAGGCGAUGGAUAACAGGUUGAUAUUCCUGUACCACCUCCUCACCAUUUGAGCAAUGGGGGGACGCAGGAGGAUAGGGUAAGCGCGGUAUUGGAUAUCCGCGUCCAAGCAGUUAGGCUGGGAAAUAGGCAAAUCCGUUUCCCGUGAAGGCUGAGCUGUGAUGGCGAGCGAAUUAUAGUAGCGAAGUUCCUGAUUCCACACUGCCAAGAAAAGCCUCUAGCGAGGUGAGAGGUGCCCGUACCGCAAACCGACACAGGUAGGCGAGGAGAGAAUCCUAAGGUGAUCGAGAGAACUCUCGUUAAGGAACUCGGCAAAAUGACCCCGUAACUUCGGGAGAAGGGGUGCUCUGUUAGGGUGCAAGCCCGAGAGAGCCGCAGUGAAUAGGCCCAGGCGACUGUUUAGCAAAAACACAGGUCUCUGCGAAGCCGUAAGGCGAAGUAUAGGGGCUGACGCCUGCCCGGUGCUGGAAGGUUAAGAGGAGCGCUUAGCGUAAGCGAAGGUGCGAAUUGAAGCCCCAGUAAACGGCGGCCGUAACUAUAACGGUCCUAAGGUAGCGAAAUUCCUUGUCGGGUAAGUUCCGACCCGCACGAAAGGCGCAACGAUCUGGGCACUGUCUCAACGAGAGACUCGGUGAAAUUAUAGUACCUGUGAAGAUGCAGGUUACCCGCGACAGGACGGAAAGACCCCGUGGAGCUUUACUGCAGCCUGAUAUUGAAUGUUGGUACAGCUUGUACAGGAUAGGUAGGAGCCUUGGAAACCGGAGCGCCAGCUUCGGUGGAGGCAUCGGUGGGAUACUACCCUGGCUGUAUUGACCUUCUAACCCGCCGCCCUUAUCGGGCGGGGAGACAGUGUCAGGUGGGCAGUUUGACUGGGGCGGUCGCCUCCUAAAAGGUAACGGAGGCGCCCAAAGGUUCCCUCAGAAUGGUUGGAAAUCAUUCGCAGAGUGUAAAGGCACAAGGGAGCUUGACUGCGAGACCUACAAGUCGAGCAGGGACGAAAGUCGGGCUUAGUGAUCCGGUGGUUCCGCAUGGAAGGGCCAUCGCUCAACGGAUAAAAGCUACCCCGGGGAUAACAGGCUUAUCUCCCCAAGAGUCCACAUCGACGGGGAGGUUUGGCACCUCGAUGUCGGCUCAUCGCAUCCUGGGGCUGUAGUCGGUCCCAAGGGUUGGGCUGUUCGCCCAUUAAAGCGGUACGCGAGCUGGGUUCAGAACGUCGUGAGACAGUUCGGUCCCUAUCCGUCGCGGGCGCAGGAAAUUUGAGAGGAGCUGUCCUUAGUACGAGAGGACCGGGAUGGACGCACCGCUGGUGUACCAGUUGUUCUGCCAAGGGCAUCGCUGGGUAGCUAUGUGCGGACGGGAUAAGUGCUGAAAGCAUCUAAGCAUGAAGCCCCCUCAAGAUGAGAUUUCCCAUUCCGCAAGGAAGUAAGAUCCCUGAAAGAUGAUCAGGUUGAUAGGUCUGAGGUGGAAGUGUGGCGACACAUGGAGCUGACAGAUACUAAUCGAUCGAGGACUUAACCAA